GAGUUUUCUUUUGGUGUUUUGUUGGCGUUUCGACGGCUAUGAUCAUCUGAAGGUCUUGAGACUAUAUAUAGGACUCAUGAGAGCCCUAGGGUAUAGCGAUUGGCCGUAUAUUUGAGAGAGACUCUUGUUUGUGAGGCUAGGGUUCUAGAGAAGAAGAGGAUUGGGAUCCUACUUCUUGUGCAAAGGGAAUUCUGUGUGAAUCUCUUGUAGAGCGAUCUCGUGUGAUCGUUCGGGUGUGUGCCAUCUCUGUAAUCUAUUCAUCCUAGUUGAGAUUUGGAGCGGUGGAGGGCGUAGGCUAUUUGUAGCCGAACCUCGUUACAUCUUUGUGUUUGCUUUGCUAUCUUCUUCCUAUUUCUUCUUCCUUUGGUUUGAUAAUCCGCUGCGGUGCUCAAGUGNNNNNNNNNNNNNNNNNNNCGGGGUAAUCUUUUGCCCUUCGUAGGGAUAAGCGAAGCGGUGAUCCUUGAGUCCGGUGUCGAGGG
Molecule: long non-coding RNA, 479 nt
Filed under: Phoenix dactylifera (date palm)
Lineage: Eukaryota; Viridiplantae; Streptophyta; Magnoliopsida; Arecales; Arecaceae
Description: long non-coding RNA (PDAC_LNC010714)
Source: RNAcentral